GUAGGUGAACCUGCGGAAGGAUCAUUACCGAGUUCAUGCCCUUCGGGGUAGAUCUCCCACCCUUUGUAUACUAUACCUUUGUUGCUUUGGCGGGCCGCCUAGCUACUGGCUUCGGCUGGUAAGUGCCCGCCAGAGGACCUAAACUCUGUUUGUCUAUAAUGUCUGAGUACUAUAUAAUAGUUAAAACUUUCAACAACGGAUCUCUUGGUUCUG
This 213-nucleotide unclassified non-coding RNA is filed under the name rhizosphere metagenome. RNAcentral describes it as "partial ribosomal RNA internal transcribed spacer region". The record is from RNAcentral.